This 235-nucleotide long non-coding RNA is filed under the name Homo sapiens (human). RNAcentral describes it as "non-protein coding lnc-C21orf33-1:7". The record is from RNAcentral. Lineage: Eukaryota; Metazoa; Chordata; Mammalia; Primates; Hominidae.
CAGAGGCACCUCCGGAAGGGCCUGGGUGAGGCUGCUAGACAGGGCAGCGGGGCACCCUCCUCCCGGAGCCCCCGCCUCUGGGCUGAGGCUCGGAUCCCCACCGCCUCCUGCGCAUGGAGGAGGCGAGAAGCGCAGGGAGACGGGGGCCCCAGACGGCACCCCGCAGGCUGCCAUUCCUUCAACCAAGAUGUAGAGAACGCCGUGGACAAAAGCUUUAAAAAAAUUCUGAAACCUC